AUAUUUAGAGGGAACUAAUGGCAGAGACCAAUAUAAAUUAAUAGAAAACUAAACCAUAAUUGACCUUCAAUUCCAUUCUCAAGAGCAUAUAGCAGAUAGAUUGCACAGAAAGCAAUCUAUGUCAUGAUAUUUCUCUGCUAUAUCAAAUCUCAUGAUCUUUCUCUUGAAAAGUGAGAAAAUUUCUUGAUGGAAAAGGAUCAUUUAGUUAAACACUUGAAUCAUUGAAAGAUGUACCAACUAUUCAUUCAAUUACUCCGCCGCGUUAGAUUAGUACAAUCUACCUUCAAAACUUCACCACAGAAAAUAAUUAACACACUCAUAACAUUGUUUUUAGAUCUGUCACUAGCUUUCUCCAAAGCAACUACAGCUGGAACAGCUACAUCUAACCAGACAAAAACAUGGAAUUCUGUAGCAUGAAAAAUGGUAAAUGUUGAGUUAGUUUUAACCCUCAAGCAAAAGGAAAACAAAAAAAAUUAAAUUCUGUAGCAUAUAAAUAAAACAAAACAAAUCACAAUUGCUACCUUCAGAACUGUGUCUUUACAUUGCUUCCAUCAAUGACAAACAAGUAUUGAACAUUUUGAAGCAGCAUCAAGAAACCUUUGGAUUGAUGGCUAUUUCGUGUUAGUGCACUAAAUUUCUCUAAUAUACGAUAACGAGGUUUGAAGUACUCUUUUUCUUGAAGGUUCUUUU
RNAcentral lists this long non-coding RNA (690 nucleotides) under Medicago truncatula (barrel medic). RNAcentral's name for it is "long non-coding RNA (MTRU_LNC008477)". Lineage: Eukaryota; Viridiplantae; Streptophyta; Magnoliopsida; Fabales; Fabaceae. The record is from RNAcentral.